CGGUCCUAAGGUAGCGAAAUUCCUUGUCGGGUAAGUUCCGACCUGCACGAAUGGCAUAACGAUGGCCACACUGUCUCCUCCCGAGACUCAGUGAAGUUGAAAUGUUUGUGAUGAUGCAAUCUACCCGCGGCUAGACGGAAAGACCCCAUGAACCUUUACUGCAGCUUUGCAUUGAACUGUGAACCGAUUUGUGUAGGAUAGGUGGGAGGCAGAGAAGAGGCCACGCCAGUGGUCUUGGAGCCGACCUUGAAAUACCACCCUGAUUUGUUUGCGGUUCUAACCACGGACAGUGAUCCUGUCUUGGGACCGUGCAUGGCAGGCAGUUUGACUGGGGCGGUCUCCUCCUAAAGGGUAACGGAGGAGUACGAAGGUACGCUAGGUACGGUCGGAAAUCGUGCUGAUAGUGCAAUGGCAAAAGCGUGCUUGACUGCGAGAGCAACAACUCGAGCAGAUGCGAAAGCAGGUCAUAGUGAUCCGGUGGCUCUGAAUGGAAGGGCCAUCGCUCAACGGAUAAAAGGUACUCCGGGGAUAACAGGCUGAUACCGCCCAAGAGUUCAUAUCGACGGCGGUGUUUGGCACCUCGAUGUCGGCUCAUCACAUCCUGGGGCUGAAGUAGGUCCCAAGGGUAUGGCUGUUCGCCAUUUAAAGUGGUACGCGAGCUGGGUUUAGAACGUCGUGAGACAGUUCGGUCCCUAUCUGCCGUGGGCGCUGGAGAACUGAGGGGGGCUGCUCCUAGUACGAGAGGACCGGAGUGGACGCAUCACUGGUGUUCGGGUUGUCAUGCCAAUGGCACUGCCCGGUAGCUAAAUGCGGAAGAGAUAAGUGCUGAAAGCAUCUAAGCACGAAACUUGCCCCGAGAUGAGUUCUCCCUGAGACUUAGAGUCUCCUGAAGGAACGUUGAAGACGACGACGUUGAUAGGCCGGGUGUGUAAGCGCAGCGAUGCGUUGAGCUAACCGGUACUAAUGAACCGUGAGGCUUAACCUU
This 985-nucleotide ribosomal RNA is filed under the name mouse gut metagenome. RNAcentral's name for it is "bacterial LSU rRNA". It matches the Rfam family "Bacterial large subunit ribosomal RNA", at positions 1946 to 2925 of the family's 2925-position model. The record is from RNAcentral.